UACAGCCGGUUUCCGAAACGUUAUUCAAAUCUUCGAUCAUCUAAUCGAGCUGUUAGAUUUGAUCAACUGUUAACCAGUCACCAGUUUCUCAAACGUCGAUCAUCUUAAAAUUAUAUGAUCGUAGAAAAUCGAUUAUCUGACAUACGAUUGGUAUCGAUACUGUCACAAUCGGCUGUCAUCCUUCAAAAUUUCAUUUUAUAACCAAAAAAUUUCAAUCCAUAGUAAAUAACUACAUAAUUUAUAAAAUUAAAAAAUAUAUUAAAAAUGAGCAAUACCAACGGAAAUCCUCCACGCAAAAAUUAUACUGAGAGAGAGAAACGUUUGCUGUUGGAAAUAAUUGGAAAAUUAGAUUUGUUUUCAUAUUAUAAUUGAAAACAAAUGUACCAAUGGUAUGUCCACCAACCAAAACAAUGAAACCUGGGAAAAAAUAGCGCUGAAUUUCCCAGAACUCCCAAGCAGCUGAACACUGCAUAUUUUAUAUAUUAUACUUAAAAAGGGUCACUCACCAAAAAGUAGCAGAGGAAAAUGUUAAGUGUAUAAAACUUUCGGUUGAUUUAGAGCUAUAUGGAUUAAUUACAUUGCAGAUUCAAAAAUAUAAUGAGCAGAAGGUUUUGGACCAGUUGAAGAGAGACCAAACUGUGGACAAAAAAGACAUACUUGCAACAGGUGGUGGCACAUUUAGGCCUCGUCUCACAGAUGUAGGGACACAAAUGUGGGGUUUGAUUGGCAAUCAAAUCCAACCUUUACCCAACAGAUGUGACAGUGCAUCUGGUUUCUUCACAUCUGUUGCACAAGAUAGUCAAGUGGAAGUAGAUUACCUACAAUUAGAAGACACAUAGCAGACAUCCAAUGUACCCUCUAUUUCCACUGUGCUGCUCAGUACACCGACAACAACUGCUGUCCUGCCCAAGAAGACAGCCAAGAUGUCUCAGGCUCUUUCAAAAAAUAAAAAAUUAAAAGAUGUAGGGAGCGAAACCCUUAAACAUAUCUUUUACAAAAAAAAAAUUGAAACAGCAAGACUAGAAAAAAGAAGUAAGAUAGUAUUUUUCAACAAGAAAAAAAGAAAUUUUAGAAGUAGAGCUUCAAAUAAAAAAAUUCGAACUCGAUAAAUUAUUAGGUAAUAGUGGUUAGGUAUGUACCUAAUAAAGUAAUUUUAAAUAAAAAUUGUAAUUUCUUUAA
This 1179-nucleotide long non-coding RNA is filed under the name Diabrotica virgifera virgifera (western corn rootworm). RNAcentral's name for it is "uncharacterized LOC126881614". Lineage: Eukaryota; Metazoa; Arthropoda; Insecta; Coleoptera; Chrysomelidae. The record is from RNAcentral.